RNAcentral lists this ribosomal RNA (305 nucleotides) under uncultured bacterium. RNAcentral describes it as "bacterial SSU rRNA". It matches the Rfam family "Bacterial small subunit ribosomal RNA", at positions 338 to 660 of the family's 1533-position model. The record is from RNAcentral.
CCUACGGGGGGCAGCAGUGGGGAAUAUUGCACAAUGGAGGGAACUCUGAUGCAGCGACGCCGCGUGAGUGAAGAAGUAAUUCGUUAUGUAAAGCUCUAUCAGCAGGGAAGAAAGUGACGGUACCUGAAAAAGAAGCUCCGGCUAAAUACGUGCCAGCAGCCGCGGUAAUACGUAGGGGGCAAGCGUUAUCCGGAUUUACUGGGUGUAAAGGGAGCGCAGACGGCAGUGCAAGUCUGGAGUGAAAGCCCGGGGCCCAACCCCGGAACUGCUCUGGAAACUGUGCGGCUAGAGUACUGGAGGGGCAG